This 452-nucleotide ribosomal RNA is filed under the name Eosericostoma inaequispinum. RNAcentral describes it as "partial 16S ribosomal RNA". The record is from RNAcentral. Lineage: Eukaryota; Metazoa; Arthropoda; Insecta; Trichoptera; Helicophidae.
GUCUAACCUGCCCACUGAAAAUUAUUUUAAAGGGCCGCAGUAUUAAUUGUGCUAAGGUAGCAUAAUAAUUAGUCUUUUAAUUAGAGACUAGAAUGAAUGGUUGAACGAAAUAUAAGUUGUUUCAAAAUUAUAAAAAUAAAAUUUAUUUUUUUAAUUAAAAAAUUAAAAUAAAUUAAAAAGACGAGAAGACCCUAUAGAUCUUUAUAUAAAUAAUUUUUUAAAAUUUAAAAUUUUUAUAUUAAAUUGGGGUGAUUAUAAAAUUUUAUAAACUUUUAUUUUUAAAUUCAUUAAUUUAUGAUUUAUUUAAAUUGAACUAUUUUUUAUAAAAUAAGAUUAAGAUACCUUAGGGAUAACAGCGUAAUUUUAAUUUUAAGUUCUUAUUGAAAUUAAAGAUUGCGACCUCGAUGUUGAAUUAAAAUUAAUAUUAAAUGUAGUCGUUUAAUUAUUAGGUC